GACGAACGCUGGCGGCGUGCCUAAUACAUGCAAGUAGAACGCACAGUUUAUACCGUAGCUUGCUACACCAUAGACUGUGAGUUGCGAACGGGUGAGUAACGCGUAGGUAACCUGCCUGGUAGCGGGGGAUAACUAUUGGAAACGAUAGCUAAUACCGCAUAAUAUUAAUUAUUGCAUGAUAAUUAAUUGAAAGGUGCAAUUGCACCACUACCAGAUGGACCUGCGUUGUAUUAGCUAGUAGGUGAGGUAACGGCUCACCUAGGCGACGAUACAUAGCCGACAUGCGAGGGUGAUCGGCCACACUGGGACUGAGACACGGCCCAGACUCCUACGGGAGGCAGCAGUAGGGAAUCUUCGGGAAUGGGCGAAAGUCUGACCGAGCAACGCCGCGUGAGUGAAGAAGGUUUUCGGAUCGUAAAGCUCGGUUGUAAGAGAAGAACGGGUGUGAGAGUGGAAAGUUCACACUGUGACGGUAUCUUACCAGAAAGGGACGGCUAACUACGUG
This 505-nucleotide ribosomal RNA is filed under the name uncultured bacterium. RNAcentral's name for it is "partial 16S ribosomal RNA". It matches the Rfam family "Bacterial small subunit ribosomal RNA", at positions 28 to 507 of the family's 1533-position model. The record is from RNAcentral.